Molecule: ribosomal RNA, 482 nt
Filed under: uncultured bacterium
Lineage: Bacteria
Description: partial 16S ribosomal RNA
Rfam family: Bacterial small subunit ribosomal RNA
Source: RNAcentral
ACGAACGCUGGCGGCGUGCUUAACACAUGCAAGUCGAACGCUGAAGCUCAGCUUUUGUUGGGUGGAUGAGUGGCGAACGGGUGAGUAACACGUGAGUAACCUGCCCCCUUCUUUGGGAUAACGCCCGGAAACGGGUGCUAAUACUGGAUAUUCACUGGUCUUCGCAUGGGGGUUGGUGGAAAGGGUUUUUCUGGUGGGGGAUGGGCUCGCGGCCUAUCAGCUUGUUGGUGGGGUGAUGGCCUACCAAGGCUUUGACGGGUAGCCGGCCUGAGAGGGUGACCGGUCACAUUGGGACUGAGAUACGGCCCAGACUCCUACGGGAGGCAGCAGUGGGGAAUAUUGCACAAUGGGCGCAAGCCUGAUGCAGCGACGCCGCGUGAGGGAUGGAGGCCUUCGGGUUGUGAACCUCUUUCGCUCAUGGUCAAGCCGCGACAAUGGUUGUGGUGAGGGUAGUGGGUAAAGAAGCGCCGGCUAACUACGUG